Molecule: ribosomal RNA, 2926 nt
Filed under: Escherichia coli
Lineage: Bacteria; Pseudomonadati; Pseudomonadota; Gammaproteobacteria; Enterobacterales; Enterobacteriaceae
Description: 23S ribosomal RNA
Rfam family: Bacterial large subunit ribosomal RNA
Source: RNAcentral
GGGUUGUGAGGUUAAGCGACUAAGCGUACACGGUGGAUGCCCUGGCAGUCAGAGGCGAUGAAGGACGUGCUAAUCUGCGAUAAGCGUCGGUAAGGUGAUAUGAACCGUUAUAACCGGCGAUUUCCGAAUGGGGAAACCCAGUGUGAUUCGUCACACUAUCAUUAACUGAAUCCAUAGGUUAAUGAGGCGAACCGGGGGAACUGAAACAUCUAAGUACCCCGAGGAAAAGAAAUCAACCGAGAUUCCCCCAGUAGCGGCGAGCGAACGGGGAGGAGCCCAGAGCCUGAAUCAGUGUGUGUGUUAGUGGAAGCGUCUGGAAAGGCGCGCGAUACAGGGUGACAGCCCCGUACACAAAAAUGCACAUACUGUGAGCUCGAUGAGUAGGGCGGGACACGUGGUAUCCUGUCUGAAUAUGGGGGGACCAUCCUCCAAGGCUAAAUACUCCUGACUGACCGAUAGUGAACCAGUACCGUGAGGGAAAGGCGAAAAGAACCCCGGCGAGGGGAGUGAAAAAGAACCUGAAACCGUGUACGUACAAGCAGUGGGAGCCUCUUAAUGGGGUGACUGCGUACCUUUUGUAUAAUGGGUCAGCGACUUAUAUUCUGUAGCAAGGUUAACCGAAUAGGGGAGCCGAAGGGAAACCGAGUCUUAACUGGGCGUUAAGUUGCAGGGUAUAGACCCGAAACCCGGUGAUCUAGCCAUGGGCAGGUUGAAGGUUGGGUAACACUAACUGGAGGACCGAACCGACUAAUGUUGAAAAAUUAGCGGAUGACUUGUGGCUGGGGGUGAAAGGCCAAUCAAACCGGGAGAUAGCUGGUUCUCCCCGAAAGCUAUUUAGGUAGCGCCUCGUGAAUUCAUCUCCGGGGGUAGAGCACUGUUUCGGCAAGGGGGUCAUCCCGACUUACCAACCCGAUGCAAACUGCGAAUACCGGAGAAUGUUAUCACGGGAGACACACGGCGGGUGCUAACGUCCGUCGUGAAGAGGGAAACAACCCAGACCGCCAGCUAAGGUCCCAAAGUCAUGGUUAAGUGGGAAACGAUGUGGGAAGGCCCAGACAGCCAGGAUGUUGGCUUAGAAGCAGCCAUCAUUUAAAGAAAGCGUAAUAGCUCACUGGUCGAGUCGGCCUGCGCGGAAGAUGUAACGGGGCUAAACCAUGCACCGAAGCUGCGGCAGCGACGCUUAUGCGUUGUUGGGUAGGGGAGCGUUCUGUAAGCCUGCGAAGGUGUGCUGUGAGGCAUGCUGGAGGUAUCAGAAGUGCGAAUGCUGACAUAAGUAACGAUAAAGCGGGUGAAAAGCCCGCUCGCCGGAAGACCAAGGGUUCCUGUCCAACGUUAAUCGGGGCAGGGUGAGUCGACCCCUAAGGCGAGGCCGAAAGGCGUAGUCGAUGGGAAACAGGUUAAUAUUCCUGUACUUGGUGUUACUGCGAAGGGGGGACGGAGAAGGCUAUGUUGGCCGGGCGACGGUUGUCCCGGUUUAAGCGUGUAGGCUGGUUUUCCAGGCAAAUCCGGAAAAUCAAGGCUGAGGCGUGAUGACGAGGCACUACGGUGCUGAAGCAACAAAUGCCCUGCUUCCAGGAAAAGCCUCUAAGCAUCAGGUAACAUCAAAUCGUACCCCAAACCGACACAGGUGGUCAGGUAGAGAAUACCAAGGCGCUUGAGAGAACUCGGGUGAAGGAACUAGGCAAAAUGGUGCCGUAACUUCGGGAGAAGGCACGCUGAUAUGUAGGUGAAGCGACUUGCUCGUGGAGCUGAAAUCAGUCGAAGAUACCAGCUGGCUGCAACUGUUUAUUAAAAACACAGCACUGUGCAAACACGAAAGUGGACGUAUACGGUGUGACGCCUGCCCGGUGCCGGAAGGUUAAUUGAUGGGGUUAGCGGUAACGCGAAGCUCUUGAUCGAAGCCCCGGUAAACGGCGGCCGUAACUAUAACGGUCCUAAGGUAGCGAAAUUCCUUGUCGGGUAAGUUCCGACCUGCACGAAUGGCGUAAUGAUGGCCAGGCUGUCUCCACCCGAGACUCAGUGAAAUUGAACUCGCUGUGAAGAUGCAGUGUACCCGCGGCAAGACGGAAAGACCCCGUGAACCUUUACUAUAGCUUGACACUGAACAUUGAGCCUUGAUGUGUAGGAUAGGUGGGAGGCUUUGAAGUGUGGACGCCAGUCUGCAUGGAGCCGACCUUGAAAUACCACCCUUUAAUGUUUGAUGUUCUAACGUUGGCCCCUAAUCGGGGUUGCGGACAGUGUCUGGUGGGUAGUUUGACUGGGGCGGUCUCCUCCUAAAGAGUAACGGAGGAGCACGAAGGUUGGCUAAUCCUGGUCGGACAUCAGGAGGUUAGUGCAAUGGCAUAAGCCAGCUUGACUGCGAGCGUGACGGCGCGAGCAGGUGCGAAAGCAGGUCAUAGUGAUCCGGUGGUUCUGAAUGGAAGGGCCAUCGCUCAACGGAUAAAAGGUACUCCGGGGAUAACAGGCUGAUACCGCCCAAGAGUUCAUAUCGACGGCGGUGUUUGGCACCUCGAUGUCGGCUCAUCACAUCCUGGGGCUGAAGUAGGUCCCAAGGGUAUGGCUGUUCGCCAUUUAAAGUGGUACGCGAGCUGGGUUUAGAACGUCGUGAGACAGUUCGGUCCCUAUCUGCCGUGGGCGCUGGAGAACUGAGGGGGGCUGCUCCUAGUACGAGAGGACCGGAGUGGACGCAUCACUGGUGUUCGGGUUGUCAUGCCAAUGGCACUGCCCGGUAGCUAAAUGCGGAAGAGAUAAGUGCUGAAAGCAUCUAAGCACGAAACUUGCCCCGAGAUGAGUUCUCCCUGACUCCUUGAGAGUCCUGAAGGAACGUUGAAGACGACGACGUUGAUAGGCCGGGUGUGUAAGCGCAGCGAUGCGUUGAGCUAACCGGUACUAAUGAACCGUGAGGCUUAACCUUACAACGCCGAAG